RNAcentral lists this non-coding RNA (24 nucleotides) under Arabidopsis thaliana (thale cress). The record is from RNAcentral. Lineage: Eukaryota; Viridiplantae; Streptophyta; Magnoliopsida; Brassicales; Brassicaceae.
UACCUUCACCGUUAUCGUUAGCCU